AUAUAAUAAAAUUAUCAAAAAUUGAAAAAUAAGAUAAUUUUUAUAUAUAUUUUGUUGCUAUCUGAAAACAAUAUUUUUAUUAUAAAAGUUAAGAAGAUACAAAAAAUUAUAGUUAAAUAUUAUUCAAGAAAAAAACAUUUAUAUAAAGAUAUUUUCUAAACUAUUUCUAAGAUAUGAGUGUUUUAAAAAAUUUAACACAGGAUGUUUAGAACACGGGAUUAUGCUUAUGAGAGAGUGGCUCGGGAAUAGGCUUCGAAAUGGGUCGAAUGGGCUCCGAAAAUAGCUUAUUUUUUUUUAACUCAAACUCAAGUCCGGAUGACAUGGCAUCUUGAUUGGUUCACAAUAUUUUGCCUAUGUGGCAAGGCUUAGAAAGUAGGGAUUUAGUCCCUUUUAUAUAGUAGGAUUUUUUAUUAUAUAAUAUCCAAGUAUGAAACUGAAAGUUUUUCCCUUUUUCAGCACUCCAACUGGCACAGAGACACCGAAUGCAAUUGAAGAGAAAGGAAUCCGAUAGGGCUCUAUAUCAAAAGCAUUGGGAGGGAGAAGAUCAAGUUUCUGUUUCAGAAGCAGAUGAGUCUUGGACGCAAAGCAAACCAGGUACUUAAGAAUUGCUUCUGGAACAGUGUUGGGAACCACACACAUACGUUAUUAAAACUGGCACUCAAGACAAGCCGGGAGCGAAAAGGGUAAGCAAUCUAUGUCGGACUUACCAAACAUUUGUUUACUAAAGGAAUUGGUUGAUUUGCUGAGAGGGGCAAAAGACAGAUGGAUAUCAGUUUACUGGAGGCCAUGGAGAAUGUUUUACCUGCCAAUAUGAGGAGGCAAGAGAAGAGGAGAGAAACUCGAAGAAAAGGAAGCGUGAUGAGGAAGGGAAGAAAAAGAAAGAUUUCAAGUUUUUUUCUUCUUUUUUUUGCUAAUAAGAUUUCAAGUUUUGAGGAAAGCUUCUUAUUUAUCUAUGAAUUCUAGAUUCUGGACGUGUCCUGAGAAUGUGUUUUGCUUUAUUUAACACACUGAGAAAGAGAGAGAGUGAGAUUGAGGUAGAAAAUAAAAAAACCUACAGGCUAUGGUCCUAUGGAUUCUUGAUA
Molecule: long non-coding RNA, 1082 nt
Organism: Brassica napus (rape)
Lineage: Eukaryota; Viridiplantae; Streptophyta; Magnoliopsida; Brassicales; Brassicaceae
Exons: 5
Source: RefSeq, a predicted model, not a curated record